RNAcentral lists this ribosomal RNA (481 nucleotides) under uncultured bacterium. RNAcentral describes it as "bacterial SSU rRNA". It matches the Rfam family "Bacterial small subunit ribosomal RNA", at positions 34 to 518 of the family's 1533-position model. The record is from RNAcentral.
CGCUGGCGGCGUGCCUAACACAUGCAAGUCAAAGGAAAGCGGCUUCGGCCGGGAGUACUUGGCGCAAGGGUGAGUAAUGUAUAGGUAAUCUGCCCUUUGGACUGGGAUAACCUCGAGAAAUCGAGGACAAUACCAGAUGAUGCAGCGGAACCGCAUGGUUAUGUUGUUAAAGAUUUAUCGCCAAGGGAUGAGCCUAUAUUCCAUCAGGUAGUUGGCAGGGUAAAAGCCUACCAAGCCUACGACGGAUAGCUGGUCUGAGAGGAUGAUCAGCCACAUUGGAACUGAGACACGGUCCAGACUCCUACGGGAGGCAGCAGUGAGGAAUAUUGCGCAAUGGGCGAAAGCCUGACGCAGCAACGCCGCGUGGAACGAUGAAGUUCUUCGGAAUGUAAAGUCCUUUUGCAGGGGAAGAAUCUGCCGGUAUACCGGCAUUGACGGUACCCUGCGAAUAAGCCACGGCUAACUCUGUGCCAGCCGCAGC